RNAcentral lists this long non-coding RNA (203 nucleotides) under Elaeis guineensis (African oil palm). RNAcentral describes it as "long non-coding RNA (EGUI_LNC067031)". Lineage: Eukaryota; Viridiplantae; Streptophyta; Magnoliopsida; Arecales; Arecaceae. The record is from RNAcentral.
ACCUGUAUGCCAUACCAGUGUCUUCACACUCUUUGGUUAAGAGGACAACCAACCCAUAUGGUACACAACGACCUAUGCUUGAUAAACAUUGUCAUCCUUGGUAACAAUGUAUCAUUUGGUCGUGAACAGGUUUAAGGACUAAACGAUAAAUCCUCCUUCGUCGAGUCUAAAUAGUCCUAAAAAAUUCACCACAACAUAGAAGU